UACGUAGGUGGCAAGCGUUAUCCGGAUUUAUUGGGCGUAAAGCGAGCGCAGGCGGUUGCUUAGGUCUGAUGUGAAAGCCUUCGGCUUAACCGAAGAAGUGCAUCGGAAACCGGGCGACUGGAGUGCAGGAGAGGUGAGCGGAAUUCCUAGUGUAGCGGUGAAAUGCGUAGAUAUUAGGAGGAACACCAGUGGCGAAGGCGGCUCACUGGACUGUAACUGACGUUGAGGCUCGAAAGCGUGGGGAGCAAACAGG
This 253-nucleotide ribosomal RNA is filed under the name uncultured Lactobacillus sp. Its description in RNAcentral is "partial 16S ribosomal RNA". It matches the Rfam family "Bacterial small subunit ribosomal RNA", at positions 524 to 776 of the family's 1533-position model. The record is from RNAcentral. Lineage: Bacteria; Bacillati; Bacillota; Bacilli; Lactobacillales; Lactobacillaceae.